AUACUUUCCUGGCAGACAAGAUACCAUGAUUAUGAAGGUAGUUUUCCCAGGGCAUGCCUUGCCCAUUGCACUCUGGGUGUGCUGACCCAUGCAAUUUCCCCAAAAGUGAGAAAAAAGAAUGUAUAAUUUGUGGUAGUGAGGGACUGCCUGUGUGCCCUUU
This is a small nuclear RNA of Talpa occidentalis (Iberian mole), 160 nucleotides long. RefSeq annotates it as U1 spliceosomal RNA. NCBI's taxonomy places the organism in Eukaryota, Metazoa, Chordata, Mammalia, Eulipotyphla, Talpidae. The transcript has a single exon. The record is from RefSeq and is a predicted model, not a curated record.